AAGUCGUAACAAGGUUUCCGUAGGUGAACCUGCGGAAGGAUCAUUAUUGUAGGGACUCCGGUCCCCUCAAGAUGCAACCCGUGCCUUUUUUGUAGCCCGUAACGUUUCCUCGGCAGCCCCUCUGCCAGCGAGGACCCCCCCUAAACCAAACCUGCAAUCUCAGUAAAAAAUUUCAGAAACCCCCCAAAAUUUAAAA
This 196-nucleotide unclassified non-coding RNA is filed under the name plant metagenome. RNAcentral describes it as "partial contains small subunit ribosomal RNA and internal transcribed spacer 1". The stretch from base 1 to 46 matches the Rfam family "Eukaryotic small subunit ribosomal RNA", at positions 1786 to 1831 of the family's 1831-position model. The record is from RNAcentral.